Molecule: ribosomal RNA, 468 nt
Filed under: uncultured bacterium
Lineage: Bacteria
Description: partial 16S ribosomal RNA
Rfam family: Bacterial small subunit ribosomal RNA
Source: RNAcentral
GACGAACGCUGGCGGCGUGCUUAACACAUGCAAGUCGAACGGAAAGGCCCUGCUUUUGUGGGGUGCUCGAGUGUCGAACGGGUGAGUAACACGUGAGUAACCUGCCCUUGACUUUGGGAUAACUUCAGGAAACUGUGGCUAAUACCGGAUAUGAGCUCCUGCUGCAUUGUGUGGUUUGGAAAGUUUCGGCGGUUGGGGAUGGACUCGCGGCUUAUCAGCUUGUUGGUGGGGUAGUGGCUUACCAAGGCUUUGACGGGUAGCCGGCCUGAGAGGGUGACCGGCCACAUUGGGACUGAGAUACGGCGCAGACUCCUACGGGAGGCAGCAGUGGGGAAUAUUGCAAAAUGGGCGGAAGCCUGAUGCAGAAAAGCGGCGUGCGGGAUGACGGCCUUCGGGUUGUAAACCGCUUUCGCCUGUGACGAAGCGUGAGUGACGGUAAUGGGUAAAGAAGCACCGGCUAACUACGUG